Molecule: long non-coding RNA, 310 nt
Filed under: Homo sapiens (human)
Lineage: Eukaryota; Metazoa; Chordata; Mammalia; Primates; Hominidae
Description: non-protein coding lnc-JAK1-2:1
Source: RNAcentral
AUGGCAGAGAUAGAAUAAAAACAGAAAAAUGGCGACGGUCACGUUGUGGCGAGCCUUGCUGCGUCAUUAGAUAAUCCUCAUGCAAAUAGCGGGAAGAACAAAGGAAGGGGAGCCCGGGACCCCCGGGGGCGCAGGAUCCGGCGGGAGGAGUCUAAGAGGAGGAGGCGGCGGUGCCGGAGGAGGAGGAGGAGGGAGGGAGAAGAGAGGAAGACCGGAGUCCCCGCGGCGGCGGCGGUCCGGAGAGAGGGCGAGCCCCGCGCGGCGCCGGGGACCGGGCGCUACCACGAGGCCGGGACGCUGGAGUCUGGGG